Long non-coding RNA from Dipodomys spectabilis (banner-tailed kangaroo rat), 87 nucleotides. RefSeq lists it as uncharacterized. The record is from RefSeq and is a predicted model, not a curated record. The transcript is spliced from 4 exons. NCBI's taxonomy places the organism in Eukaryota, Metazoa, Chordata, Mammalia, Rodentia, Heteromyidae.
CUGAAAAGCAGAGCUGCUGGGUCAUAGGGGAUCUCUCUGUGUAGUCUUUUGAGGAACCUCCAACUGCUUUCCAGAGCAGUUGAACAC